RNAcentral lists this ribosomal RNA (369 nucleotides) under uncultured bacterium. RNAcentral describes it as "bacterial SSU rRNA". It matches the Rfam family "Bacterial small subunit ribosomal RNA", at positions 796 to 1165 of the family's 1533-position model. The record is from RNAcentral.
CACGCCCUAAACGAUGUCGACUAGUCGUUCGGAGAGGUAACUCACUGAGUGACGCAGCUAACGCGUGAAGUCGACCGCCUGGGGAGUACGGCCGCAAGGUUAAAACUCAAAGGAAUUGACGGGGACCCGCACAAGCGGUGGAUGAUGUGGAUUAAUUCGAUGCAACGCGAAAAACCUUACCUACCCUUGACAUGCCUGGAAUCCUUGAGAGAUCAGGGAGUGCCUUCGGGAACCAGGACACAGGUGCUGCAUGGCUGUCGUCAGCUCGUGUCGUGAGAUGUUGGGUUAAGUCCCGCAACGAGCGCAACCCUUGUCGCUAAUUGCCAUCAUUUGGUUGGGCACUUUAGCGAGACUGCCGGUGACAAACCG